RNAcentral lists this ribosomal RNA (433 nucleotides) under uncultured bacterium. Its description in RNAcentral is "partial 16S ribosomal RNA". It matches the Rfam family "Bacterial small subunit ribosomal RNA", at positions 29 to 507 of the family's 1533-position model. The record is from RNAcentral.
AACGAACGCUGGCGGCAUGCCUAACACAUGCAAGUCGAACGAGACCUUCGGGUCUAGUGGCGCACGGGUGCGUAACGCGUGGGAACCUGCCCUUAGGUUCGGAAUAACUCCCCGAAAGGGGUGCUAAUACCGGAUAAUGUCUUCGGACCAAAGAUUUAUCGCCUUUGGAUGGGCCCGCGUUGGAUUAGCUAGUUGGUAGGGUAAAAGCCUACCAAGGCGACGAUCCAUAGCUGGUCUGAGAGGAUGAUCAGCCACACUGGGACUGAGACACGGCCCAGACUCCUACGGGAGGCAGCAGUGGGGAAUAUUGGACAAUGGGCGAAAGCCUGAUCCAGCGGUGCCGCGUGAGUGAUGAAGGCCUUAGGGUUGUAAAGCUCUUUUACCCGGGAUGAUAAUGACAGUACCGGGAGAAUAAGCUCCGGCUAACUCCGUG